GGAACUGCAGAAGCUUCUUGAGGAGCCGGAUGUCUGUUUAUGCAGUCAAUUGCAAGACCACUUCACUGGGUCCAGAUGAGAGGUGCAGGAUGGAGAAGGAAAUCAAGAAGCUGAAGGAGAUGCUCUCCAUUCACUUGGACCUGAUUCAGCAUCAGGCUGACCAAGCUGCCUCUCGGGAGACCCAGGUCAAGGCUCUCAGGCGGGAAAAUGACAGGCUGCUGCAGAAGGUGGAGCGGAUGGAGCGGCGUCUGUCGGUGCC
Long non-coding RNA from Pollicipes pollicipes, 259 nucleotides. RefSeq lists it as uncharacterized. Lineage: Eukaryota; Metazoa; Arthropoda; Thecostraca; Pollicipedomorpha; Pollicipedidae. The record is from RefSeq and is a predicted model, not a curated record. The transcript has 3 exons.